GGCGCUAGAACAUUGUUCCGAGAUGUUUUUGCUGGUAUUGAUCCAGAUUUGGAUGCUCAAGUGGAAUUUGGAACAUUCCAAAAAGUGGGAGAUCCAACUACAAGGAAACAGGCAGCCUGA
Molecule: ribosomal RNA, 120 nt
Filed under: Triticum aestivum (bread wheat)
Lineage: Eukaryota; Viridiplantae; Streptophyta; Magnoliopsida; Poales; Poaceae
Description: partial small subunit ribosomal RNA
Source: RNAcentral